GGAAGGAUCAUUACUGAACUGUCCACAGGAGUUGUUGCUGGUCUCUGUAUGGCGGCAUGUGCACGCCCUGUUUACACAUCCACUCACACUGUGCACCCCUCCGUAGUUCUGUGGCCUGGGGCUCUGUCCUCCCGCUGUGGUUCUAUGUUUUUACACACACACUGUAAUGAAGUCUCAUGGAAUGUAUGUCGCGUCUAACGCAAUCAAAAUACAACUUUCAGCAACGGAUCUCUUGGCUCUCGCAUCGAUGAAGAACGCAGCGAAAUGCGAUAAGUAAUGUGAAUUGCAGAAUUCAGUGAAUCAUCGAAUCUUUGAACGCACCUUGCGCCCUUUGGCCAUUCCGAAGGGCAUGCCUGUUUGAGCAUCAUGAACAUCUCAACUCUCAUGGCUUGCUAUGAUGAGUUUGGACUUUGGAGGUUUGCUGGCCCGCAGCCAGCUCCUCUCAAAUGAAUCAGCUUGCCAGUGUUUGGUGGCAUCACAGGUGUGAUAAAUAUCUAUGCUUGUGGUUUUCCACCAGGGUAACCCUCAGCAAUGGAGGUUCACUGGGGCUUAUAAAUGCCUCUCUUCAGUGAGGGCAGCUUUUGACUGUUUGAUCUCAAAUCAGGUAGGACUACCCGCUGAACUUAAGCAUAUCAAUAAGCGGAGGAAAAGAAACUAACAAGGAUUCCCCUAGUAACUGCGAGUGAAGCGGGAAGAGCUCAAAUUUAAAAUCUGGUGUGCCUCUGGCCAUCCGAGUUGUAGUCUGGAGAAGCGUUUUCUGUGUUGGACCGUGUAUAAGUCUCUUGGAACAGGGCGUCAUAGAGGGUGAGAAUCCCGUCUUUGACACGGACUACCAAUGCUUUGUGAUGCGCUCUCAAAGAGUCGAGUUGUUUGGGAAUGCAGCUCAAAAUGGGUGGUAAAUUCCAUCUAAAGCUAAAUAUAGGCGAGAGACCGAUAGCGAACAAGUAC
This 948-nucleotide ribosomal RNA is filed under the name uncultured fungus. RNAcentral describes it as "eukaryotic LSU rRNA". The stretch from base 591 to 948 matches the Rfam family "Eukaryotic large subunit ribosomal RNA", at positions 1 to 351 of the family's 3401-position model. The record is from RNAcentral. Lineage: Eukaryota; Fungi.